RNAcentral lists this small RNA (516 nucleotides) under Pan troglodytes (chimpanzee). RNAcentral's name for it is "processed transcript". Lineage: Eukaryota; Metazoa; Chordata; Mammalia; Primates; Hominidae. The record is from RNAcentral.
AGCUUAUCGAGACCCUCUCUGCCCAGCUGCCUCUGCUCCUUCCUCCUCCUCCUCCUCCUCCAAGUGUCUUCCAGCUAUGCAGGGCAGUUCAGAGUGAUAGGACCAAGACACCCUAUCCGGGCUCUGGUCGGGGAUGAAGUGGAAUUGCCAUGUCGCAUAUCUCCUGGGAAGAACGCUACAGGCAUGGAGGUGGGGUGGUACCGCCCCCCCUUCUCUAGGGUGGUUCAUCUCUACAGAAAUGGCAAGGACCAAGAUGGAGACCAGGCACCUGAAUAUCGGGGCCGGACAGAGCUGCUGAAAGAUGCUAUUGGUGAGGGAAAGGUGACUCUCAGGAUCCGGAAUGUAAGGUUCUCAGAUGAAGGAGGUUUCACCUGCUUCUUCCGAGAUCAUUCUUAUCAAGAGGAGGCAGCAAUGGAAUUGAAAGUAGAAGGAUUGGUUGCAGUGGCACGAUCAUGGCUCAUUGCAGCCUCCACCUCCCAGGCUCAAGUGAUCCUCCUGACUCAGCCUCUUGAAUAG